GGGAAUGUGGCUUAGUGGUAGAGCGCUUACCUUGCAUGCAUGAAGCUCUGAGUUCGAUUCCUCAGCACCACCG
Molecule: non-coding RNA, 73 nt
Organism: Dipodomys ordii (Ord's kangaroo rat)
Lineage: Eukaryota; Metazoa; Chordata; Mammalia; Rodentia; Heteromyidae
Source: Rfam